Molecule: non-coding RNA, 5160 nt
Organism: Epinephelus lanceolatus (giant grouper)
Lineage: Eukaryota; Metazoa; Chordata; Actinopteri; Perciformes; Serranidae
Source: RefSeq, a predicted model, not a curated record
GCGGUUGAGAUAGUAUUUGGCAAACUGGAGAAAGAAACAACUGAUAUCAGCUGAUAAUAACGACACUUAUUGAACACGUAUCACUUUGAAUCAGUCUUUUGUGACUUUGCCGGCUCAGUCAAACAGUAAGAGAAAAUGGCGGCCGUUAUUAAUACAGUUUUAUCAGAGAUCGGCUGGGAUGAGCGGUUUGCUAUCCCUGAACCUAACGCUGAAAACAAGGCUUUGAUUGAAGAGAUUCGUAAAAAAGAGAUGGAGUUGGUGCGACUGGACAACAAACUUGAGAGACACAGGGAACAAAAGCAGACAUUAACCGAAUUCUUUAAGAAUGUUAAACAAGAGCUGGACAGUACUGAGGCUCUGCUUAAAGCAAAGGAAAGAGAAGAAGAGUUUGAGAAACACCUCAACGCCCUCGCAGAGAGGGAGACAGGUCACCUGACACAGGAAGUUGCAAAGAUGGAGAGUGACAAUCGAUCUUUAGCAGAGAGAAAGAACAUGCUAGAGAAUCAUGUCUUCAAGGCCAAACAGAAGCUAGAGGACUUUAGGAACCAGAUGGAGUGGGACCAGCAGACCUUGGACGCCUUUUUAGAGGAGUCGGCACGCAAAGAUGAGGACACAAUGGCCAUCAUCAAGUAUGCCCAGCAAGACGAGCAGAGGAUAAAGUCACUCACUCUGGCUAUAGAGAAGAAGACACUGGAGGCCAGUGACAAGCGCAAAGCCCUUGACAAAGAAUUGACUGAGACUAUAUCUACACGGAUUGCUUUGGAUAAAACGACAGAGAAUUUGCAGCAGGCCCACCAGGAGACACAGCAGCUCAUCCACCAGUGGGAAAACACCAUCAAGCAGAUGAAGCAGAGAGAUGCUGAGAUGCAGCAGUGUGCUCUGCAACUUGCCCAAGCCAACCAGAACAUCAGGGACAGAAACACCAGCAUUGCAAAGAGGAAGCACUGGCUGGAAACUCAGAGGAACAACAAUAAGGAAACUGAGAGGAACCUAACCAUGGCCACCCGACACGCUGUAAAGCUGCGGCAGGAUUUGAAGGAGCAGGAGAAUAACUGCAGCAGGCUGAAGGAUGAGCUGAAAAGUUGCAAAGGCAGACUAGACGGAGCAACCUCCAGUGUGGAGUCUGCGUCGUCCCACAUAUCCAGGAUGAAGAAAGACAUCCAGGAUAACAAUGACAAACUCAUGAGGGCCAAGGCCUACAAUGCUGCGCUGGAGGAGAAGCUGAAAGAUGUGACUCAGACCGCCCUCAGUGAGGAGGAGAGGGCUGCACAGAUGGACCAACUCCUCAAGGAUGAGGAACGGGCAAUUAAGGAGUUGGAUGUCCAGCUGCGUGACUACAGGGAAGAGCUUUUUCGUGGUAAAGAACAUUUGCAGGCCCUCAAGACAAAGGAGAAGGAUUCUAUUGCUCUGGUCUCAAGGAGUAAAUCCACCAUCAACCAACUGGAGAGCCAGCUGAGAAAACAGGAGGAGGAAUUAAAAAGACAGCAGAUUAUCAUGAUGGAACAGGACACCCAGAUCAUCCACCUGGACAAAAAACUGGCACGGCUGCAAGGCGAAGUUCGCACCGAUGAAAAGCAAAUGUUGAACGUAAAGAUCGCUGAGCUGACCAAAACCCUAGAGGAGAAGAAGGAGAUGGCCAACAAGCUGACCAGUGCACUCAAGGAGGCUGAGGAUGAUAUUCGCUAUUUGAGGAAAGUGAUGGAGAAGUCAGAGGCUCAAAAGAGAGAUCUGACCGACAAGGUGGAGGAGCUCAUGCUUCUCUGUAACACCAAUGAAAAGGAGCUGAAGAGACUCAGGCUCAAGAGACAGGACACCCUGGUGGAGCACAACGUCCUUAAGACAGAGGUCGAGCGUGUGAGGAGUCUGCUGUACAGCAAGGCGGACAGCGUGCUGUCUCUGGAGAAGAGGAGGCUGGAGUUGCAGGAAGCCAUGAAGGACAGGGAGGAGGAGGUCAAGGUCUAUAAAAAAAUGCUAAAUCAGCAGCUCAAGAUCAGUGAGCAGGACAGACAGAAACUCAGCGUCGAACUGAGUGAGAAACUGUCCAAGGUCGACAUGAUGAAGAAACGCUUCGAGAUUGAGAUGUUUUCAAUGGCAGCCCCUGAGGGGGAAGAGGAGAAAUCACAGGCUUACUACAUCACAAAGGCUGCACAAGAGAAAGAGGAGCUCAAGCGAAAGGGAGACGAUCUGGAUGCUAAGAUCCGCAAGACGGAGCUGGAAAACAGAGCUCUAGAGAACACCAUCCGUUUGUUUGACAGCAGUAACACAGCAUUUCGCACAUCCCUCAACAAAGUGAAUGAAUCCAGUCCAGAACACCAGGAAAAGCUGAAGCUAGAAGAGCAGUUGAGGGCAGCUGAAGAGACGCUGAAGUAUAAAAAGAGACAAGUCCAAGAGCUCCAACAGGACUUACAGGACAUGAACAAUACCUUGGAGAGUCUGCUGCAAGACGAGCAGGUGGAGAAAGAUAAGAUACAGAGCAAACAGUCGCUCAUUGGUAAACUGAACAAAGAAAUCACUUCCCAGCAGGAGAAGGUUGACAGAGCCACAAAGCAGUGCUCUAAGCUGACCAAAGAGAUCCGCUCAGCACAGAACACCAAAACUGAGACAUUUGAGGAGAAGGACAUUAAGCUGAGGGAGUGGAAAGAAUUCAACAAGAGCAUCAACAAGAUGUUGAACGAGGCCAUGGAGGACAAACUCAACCUCAGAUCAGUGAUUGAGAAAUACUUCCUGCAGGCCAAUCUGUCUCUUCCGUCUCCGUCUUCCACUCCUGCCAGUGGCCGAAGCUCUAAGAGAAACUCUGUGUGCAGCUCUGCCUCUCUCAGGUCUCCUGCGUCCUCAGCCAGCAGCAGCCCCAGGGCCUCCGUGUCACCUCACUCCCACGUGCUGAAGACUGUGGAAGUGGGCUUGGAUCUGGCCGUGACCUCCCCUCCUCUCACCACCUCCAGACACUCCAGCUCUGUGAGCAGCAGCAGCAGCAGCAGCAGCAGCAGCAGAAAGUUAAAGAACCUGUAGUCAUGAAGGAUUUAUUAUCAAUCUUUAUUUACUGAUACGAGAGAAAGAGGAUUACAAUUACUCACAGAUGCACAGAGUAACUGUCUCAUCACAGGAUGAGAUGUGAUCAACUCUGAAAUGUGGUUUCAAAGCUCUAAAAAGAGCUUUACAAUGUGUGAUGUCAUACUAGAAAGUCUGUUUAGUAUUAGUUUAGUUUUAGUUUAGUUUAGUAUUACUCUUAAGCCCACUUCAGACCAAAGAUUCACGGUGUGCUGGUAUCAGACAGUUGGUUGCUGCUGCUGCUCGCUGUAUGUGCCUCUGAAGUACAGACAGUUGUUGCAUAGGGAUGAUACAUCAUCUCAUCUAGUUGCAUUGGUGUGAACCAGCAGGUUUUUAGAACGUUGCAGGAUGGAGCAUUGCAGGUAGUUGUUUCAGCUCAUCUUGUCACGAUUUUUUGGUCUGAACUGGGCUUUAAAGGAAACAAUAUUCAGAGCAUAUUUAUGAUUGGAGUGGGACCAGAGAUUGGCCACAGCGGCGUUCUUUCUUUGUGGGUCGGCAUGGUGGCACUCACAGGGACUCUCAUGCAACUCAACAUGCGGGUGCGGCUGGACCAUCCACCACAAUGACAAACUGAGAAGCUCAGAUUACAACACAAACAGAGGUGGACUGACUUCAGGUCAGGACCCCAUUACUCCUCUUUGUCUUCACAUAGCAAAUAAUUGUUAGCAGCUAUAUUAAUGUUCUGAAUAUCACAUACAGCUCCUUUAAAUUUGUUGUUUGUAGCCUUUGUUCAUUUCACUUUUGUAGGUAUUAUAUUUAUGAAAAAAUUAAUGUGGCCUAAAGGAAGACUUGAUUAUUGGAAUUUUCCUUUAAUUAAAAAAAGAAAAAUAGUUCUUGUUAUUUCUUUGCUGUUUUUUUGUCUUAAAAACAACUCAAGACAUCUCAAUAAAAAGUAGCUGAAAAGUCUGGGAGCACAUCAGAAUUUGCUUUUGGCUCAACUAAACCCUUUUUUUUUAUAACAAAAAUCCCUCUCUUAACCUUUUCUGACAUGCAUAAUCUUUUGAUAAUUUACAAGGUAUGAAAUUAUUUUGCUUUGUAGAAGAAGCAGUUAAAAAAACAACCUGCAUAAAGCAAAUCACAACCUCAGAAAUUACGUGCUUGACAGCCUUAAAAAGGUUCUUUCUCAUAUUUCGUCGCACAGAACUGGUUUGCUUCGGCCUUUGUUACAUGCUUGAGUUGCUCCAGCCCAGACAAUUGUCUUUGACAUGUCAUGUUGUUAUUGCCACACCCUCUUCAUGGCACAGAACAAAAGUAGCCAGAGGUUCUGUGGGAAUACAGACAACAUUUUCCCACUGCAGAUUUCACUCUUGUUUGGGAAUAAAGCUUUGACAUGCUGCUGCUGAUCCUGUUUGCUGGAUGUUUGGCCUCAUGUGCUGCACAGACAACAUCCUUUCCCUCCCUUGUCACGGAGGCUCCUUUUUCAGAGCCAAUACAAGCAACAUCAGUCCAACCAGCAUCUGAUCCAGCAGACAACGUUGUGGCAAUCCUGCUGACAGCUGUUCAGUCAUAUCAUGAGCUAAAUGAAACAACAGUUGGUCCAGUCCUGCACCGGCUCUACACCAUGAUCGAGCAGCUCAGACCAGAUCUGAACUUCAGUCUAUCAGUAAAGAACAUCACCAGAGUCUGAAACCUCAACAUAUAAGGUUUAUUUCUGUGUUUGCCAAGAUUUGAAAAAAAUGAGACUUUUGAAAAUAAUAUCCCCACUAACACUAUAUGGGCAAGGAGAAUCCUCGGUGGAGUUUUUAAUUUAUGUUUCUCCUUUCACUUUUUGGGAUGCCCCUAAAAAUGUGACAUGCUGCUCCACUUAGGACAAAGUGUGAGUCCUAAAUAAGGUACAACACUUGCAUUUGCUUUGAUUCAUCAAAGAGAUGUAUGUAAACAAUGGAUAAUGUUGCCAUUAACCAUAACCAAGUGUUUUUUGUUCCUAAACAUAACCACAUGUCAACCACUGUGUUUAUAACUGCUAUAUGCAAAUGUAACGUAUCCAUCACUUGCAGAAACAUACAAUACCAACAUUUAUUCUCGCAAUUGCAAUCUCCAAUGACACGUUGUCACUGAGUUGCUGUAAAAUGUAAAGAGGUGCAUGGAAAAAAUAAAUCAGUUGCCUCAUAA